This is a non-coding RNA of Rhopilema esculentum, 5077 nucleotides long. Lineage: Eukaryota; Metazoa; Cnidaria; Scyphozoa; Rhizostomeae; Rhizostomatidae. The record is from RefSeq and is a predicted model, not a curated record.
CUGUGGUAACUCUAACGAGAGGGUCAAAUAGAUUGAAAAGCCAGCCGUGGCCGAAAUUUUUCAACUGAAACAAGGCUGCGAAAUUUUCGCGAGUUUUCCAAUAUGGUUCUUUUAAGCGACACCAUUUUAGAAAAAGCUUAUGUAUUCUUACCUCAGCGUUCUACUUUUCAUGUUAUUAUGAAAUAUUUAUAGGCACGAAAAAGCUAGUCCCAUAAAGAGCGAAGACAUGUACUUAAAGAACAGGGGAAUUAUCAAUUACAAAAAUUGAGAUAUGUUACUUAAGGGGAAGUUAACCUCUAGUUAGUGGGUUGAUAGAGUGCCAGGCAGGGCCGUCCGAGGGUCAGGGCUAUGUCCGAGGGUCAGAGCUAAAUAGUACUGAAGAAAAAAGGAUUAUGGGAAGUAAAGAUAAAAACUUUGUUCAUUAUAUUGCAGAAUAAUGUUUAACAAUUACUUUUUCCGUACAUUCUUUCGAUUUGAAAGAUAAAACCUUGUGUUUUAGAAAUAACACCAGAGCCAUAAGCUUGGUUUCGCGUCGAGAAUUUGCGUCACUCGAUGGAGCCCUCAGUAUCGUAUCAAAGCCCGUGGUUAAAAAAACGCACAAACAACGCCUAAAACUGGAAAAACAUUACUAUCAAGUUACGCUCGAGUGAAUUUGAUCAUGUGAUGACACAAAACUGUUUACUAUUCUAACUGGAAAGAAAGGAAGCUUGUACAAGCGCAUAUCCAGCAAGCAAACGGUACAAGAAUCAAUGUGAAGAAAAUUUUAUCAAUGUGAAGCAAUCCUUUAAACAAGUGCCCUCAUGAACAAGAUCAAGAAUUAAAAUAAGUGCUCUUUGGUCAUAUAUAAAGGCACUCUCUUAAUUAUUCCUUCAAGAUUUCUUAAGAUCAUCAUUCCUCCUUCCAGCACCCCUGUUGAAGAAAUGAGAGGGUUGGAACAAAAUUCUGAAAUUGAAAAUUUCUUGCAACCACUUUCAACUAUAUAUAUACAAUUUUGGAAAAGGUAGCCUCCCCUUUUAUUUUACCUGUUUAUUACAUUUCAGACUUGGCCAUGACAUACCCACACAACACCACCCAACCCUACCCCCAACCCUACCCCCAACAUUUUAAGUCAACCUCCUUUAUUCCUGAUCUCAAAGUUGGUGUUCUAAUGUAAAAAAUUACAGCAGAGGGGGGGGCUAUUCCACAAAGAGAGGGCAGAGAGGGGCUUGAUUUGAUUAUUACAGUACCUGCCUGGUAAUUAUUGCCAUUGAUUUAUUUUGGGAACAGAAACAACAGGUCAUCAACAAAUUAAUUAGAUCAGUGAGCAGUUGAUCACCUUUCUGGUUAAUGAAAAUGAAUGCAAAAGUACCUUUUUAAUGUUUCCCUUACCGAACAGCGGAAUGAAUAGAGUACAUAUCUUGAAGUAAUUUCUACUAUCUUAACGCUCACUGCCAUACGUGACGCUGGUAAACCAAAAAAAAUCAAUGACGCAGACAAUGGUAUCGGAAACCGCCAUGUCUAAGACAAAUUCAAUGCGUUUUGACCAGCUCAUUAAACUACGUGGUUGAAUUUUGACUCAUGAAUUAACAAUGUUUAGCCUUUCACGUAACAAAAAUGUUGAUUGUUGUGAGAUAGGUGUUGUACUAGGUCUCUACCAUUUGCCCAAAUCGGCCUUUACAAAACAUGAAUGAAAGUUUAAUUUACGAGACAACACUUGUACCGUAUGUGAAAUUUAUAAGAAUGCUUUCUUUUUAUGUCCGUGUAACACAAUACUGGAUUUAGCUCAUUGAAAUGCAUCGUUCUGAAAUUAAAUCGCCUCUAGCAUGUUGAUGUUCAGGGCGACUUUGUUUGUAGAUGCAUUGUCGCCGCUUGAAACGUUCAACAAGAAUGGGAUUACAGAGCUUUAUUCAUCGGGUGGCUGAAGGCAUAGUUAAUGUCACAUUUCAUCGUACUGAUACUGUUUUUAAAAGACUUUUUGAAGGCAUACAGCUUGAAAGAUCUAAGGAAUUACUUCUGUAUGUCAAUUCUGUAUUACUUCAGCAAAAUUAACCUUUAAUUUUUUAAACGCAUUAUUUUGUAACUUUAUUUUAACUCAAUCAAACUUCCUUCAUCUUUUGAUGCAAUUUGCAUAAUCUAAUGCUGCGAAUAUAUAUAAAAAGAAAUGAAAUGAAAUAGAAAGCAUAAAGAGAGGAGACUCUGAAAAACCCCGAUAGGAUCCCAUGAAUGAAGUUCUAUAUAUACCGGGUGCCCAUGCCACAACAUCUCUACAAUAUAAGUUAGCACAUUGAACAAGAAAAAUUAUGGCCGAAAAGCCAAAAACACGAUAUAAAAUUCAACCAGAAAUCAUGGUUGGUUACGCCCUGCUUUAGUUUUGUACUUUCCAGACAAAAACAGCCGCAAGAUAUGUUUAGGCCAUUGUAGUACUCGUGGCUUUGCAGAGCACGUGUUUUGUAAGCGAUGAGGCCAGUUAAUCAUGAAAUAAUUAAUGUUAAAUACUGGUAGUGGUAACAAAAACAUAUAUUUCAUCAAACUAACAAACUUACAAAUUUCUUCAAGAUCUGUAGCUGUUAUUCUCCUCUUCCCAAUCAAGCAACUCCCGCGUGGAUUGUGAUAAAUAAAUGGAUGGGAGAGAGCGGUUCAUUCAAUGAUGCCGGAUAACAUCAACAAAGAGUCUGGGCAACAUACUUCACAUAGAUUAAAACGACCAGAUUUGAGUUGACGGCUUCUGACGGCUUCAAAGCUCAAAAUAUCACAUUGAGCUUCUGUAAACUAUAUGUUUCCCGCGCUAAUCCACGAGCUGUCAUUGGUUGAAGAAGAGGAAAUACAAGAAGUAAGAAAAUGCCCGAAUCAAAAUGAAAACUGUGACACGGCUGGGCGCUUUAAGGAAACAGUAUCAGAAUCUAAACCACAACUCACGGCCUCUGGACCAUUCAUUUAUUGAAUUGUGGAUGAGGACAUCAGGACAACGUUACCUUGGUGUACAUAACUACAACUUUGUCGUCAAUGAACAUUUAAAGAAGCCUGCAAAUGACCAUUAAACUAGGAUGAAUUAGUAACAUAAUUGGAUACUACGGCGAAAGUGUCAGCAUAUAUUUUUCGUCCGUGUUAGGCAUAAAGUGGAAAAGCGAACAAGAGUAUUUUUAUCACGAUUAAUUUUGACUGAAUGUUGUUGAAGCAUUUCAUUUCGUUUCGUAGCUCUUAUCCAAAGUUGUUGCACAAGUAAUGUUUACAAGGAAAGAGAAAAUGGUUCACAAUCUUACAAAAUGUAGGAUGUUUAGUAAAACAGGACGCACAAAGUGACUGUCCUUAAAAUUGUAUUUCACCAAAACAGGCAGAGCUUUAUAACUUAAAGAUAAGGGUGUUUUCUAUUACUGCAGAAGACAGGUUGCUCGUGAUGUCUUCAUAUAUGUGUAGUUGAAACUUACUACAGUAUACCUGAUGAAUAUUUUUGCUUCGAAAAUAUUUUUGAUGAAAUGUUAUCUAAUAUUGAGAUAUUGUUGAGAGUAUUAGAAAUAUUUAGAAUCAGAUUUGAGCUGUACUUUGCGUACCCUGGGUGCCAGAGCCACAAAAUUUCGAGCACGGAAAUAAAAAACCAUGCGGAGAAGCGGAGGAGCAUUUAGCUGAAAGGAAGGUGCACUUUUUCCUUCCUCUCAGCUAAAUGCUCCUCCGCUUUUCCUGAUUUUGUUGUGGCUAUGGCACCCAGGGUAUACUUUGCGAAGAAGAUUGUUUUAACUUUCAUAUCCUAAGCCUAACUGUAGCAGUAUAUCAAUUUCUUACACAAAAUUACGAUAACAUAAAUAAUGCAUAAGAAAUACGAUGAGGCACAUAUUUCAAAGAAAGGGGGCAAGAGAAGGCAGAAAAGGGCACCUCCGCAAGCUAUAAAUGGCCACUAUUUUGGAAAGUCGCGCACCAUCCAGCCUCCCCGGUCCAUAAGUCUUCAUAGUUAUCUCAACCAACACAAGGGUAAUUGUAAUUGUAGAAAAAGAUGGUUGGUUUGGAAGAUAAUGCUGUAAAAAUAAAUUUCCUGAGCAUUAUUUUGAUUUCCGCCUCUAUUCUAAUGACAGACGACUUUUACAGUAAUCUGCAUUCUUUUGAAAGCGCUAUGUUUUGGUUUUAUUUGUAAUUGCUCAUUUAGAUGUGUAAUGACAACCAAGCAAAUUGAUGCAAGGAAGCCAAAAUGAUAAUAAACAGAAGUAUUUCCCUGUCUAAAGUAACAAUUAAAAAAACAGCUUGUGUGGAUCUGUGGAAGGGAGAGGCUUGGCAACCAAUGUUUGAAGAAACAGACUUGCCUUGUUGCCUUGACUGAUAUAUCGAACAUAUGCGAGCCAACAUUGGUGGCAAGCUAAAAUCUCUUCAGCAUUAUCAUGAAGAUUAAAGAGAACUCAUCAACGAAAACUUUAUUUUGGACAAUUGCUUCGCAAAUCGAUUUUCAGUUCUCGUCAAAUGGAAAAUAUUGACUUUUCUCUUGCAUGUAUGUAUCAAGAGAUGCUUGAAACCUAGAUUUCAUUAGCAUUCAAAAUAUGGACACGAAUCAAUAUCAGGACACUAUGAAUCAUUUAAAGAUAUCAAUUUCUUGAAAAGGGCAUUUUGCUGCCUCCCGUGCUGCCCCCGCACCACUAGGGCAACGGCGCCCUUGCCCCCUAGUUAGUACGCAAAAGUGGCCCUGAGUUUCAGUAAAUUCUAUGCUAUGACACUUGAAAAGUGUGUCGUAAUAAGUCAUCCACUGAGGUCUGCUAACUUUUUAUUAUUGUUUUCGGUCCCCAAGAUUCAACACUGUACGUGAAAACCAACAAUGCACUCGGCCUGACAUACUUUUUAUUUUAUAAGAAUCUGCUAACUUCGGCCGGGGUUCGAUGUUCUUAAUUCAUGGAUAAUUUCUGGCUCGAGUUUUUUAUGUUCUUCUUAUUUCAGUUGAAUUUAUUUGUCUACAAGUACCCACAAUGAACUGUCUAUAAGGCCAUUAAACAUCAGCUUCGAAUGACAAUUUCAGUACAAAUCUACUCUGUUUUUUUAGACUUUCAAAAAUCUGGUUGGUUUUUUCUUGUAAUUUCCAUCUUACUCUUCACGUUCUUGUAUUGAAAAAGAUAUCUUAACGUAG